UGCGUAGGCGGAAUAUUAAGUCAGUGGUGAAAUCCUGCGGCUCAACCGUAGAACUGCCAUUGAUACUGAUAUUCUUGAAUAUAGUUGAGGUAGGCGGAAUGUGUAAUGUAGCGGUGAAAUGCUUAGAUAUUACACAGAACACCGAUUGCGAAGGCAGCUUACUAAACUAUUAUUGACGCUGAGGUACGAAAGCGUGGGGAGCGAACAGGAUUAGAUACCCUGGUAGUC
Molecule: ribosomal RNA, 228 nt
Filed under: uncultured bacterium
Lineage: Bacteria
Description: partial 16S ribosomal RNA
Rfam family: Bacterial small subunit ribosomal RNA
Source: RNAcentral